Long non-coding RNA from Amphibalanus amphitrite, 468 nucleotides. RefSeq lists it as uncharacterized. The record is from RefSeq and is a predicted model, not a curated record. Lineage: Eukaryota; Metazoa; Arthropoda; Thecostraca; Balanomorpha; Balanidae. The transcript is spliced from 4 exons.
ACCACAGCGGCAUAAGCAGUGGCGGAAAGACGAAGUAAUUGCGCAAUAAGUGUACCAACUGGAAAACUCGAACCCGACCGCACCAUCCAAGCUACAAUCAAAAGUGGCAGAGUGGGAAUAACUCACGUUGUUCCAAUCAUUCGCCAGGAGUUGGGAUAAGCGACCGGAUCGGCAAUGUCCGCAAGAUCUACGCCGGGCAGUCAGAUGGGGAGCGAACCCAAACGAGCCGGGAAAGAGUGUGCAUCCUGUGGACAACGAGUUCGGGGGAGAGAAAGGAUAUGCUCAUGUGGGCAUGAUUUGGAGGCACAACGGCAGGCUCUUCGUGUAGCUCGUCAAAAAGAGCAGCGGAGGAAAGGCAAGAAGCUCCGCGAUGACAAUCAGGACAAAGUGUUCGAGGCUAUUAAGAGGAAGGUGCACAUCCUACAAGGAAGUGGUCACCACAUUGCACUUCUUGGCGUGCGUCUUCAC